GCAUGCAAACAUCAUCGGUUUAUCUCCAAAACAAAAAACCUAUUUUUAUUAAAAACAAAGUUCUUCUUUUUCUGUGUUAACUACCAUGGCUUUGGCAACAUUACGAAUAUUUCGUAUGGCGAUAAUUGUUUUUAAGGAAUUUACUGAACCUGUUAAAAGACUGUUCGUAAAUAUCGCACAACACAACGAUUUUUUUCGCAAUUACAUAUGCAAACCACCGGCUUAUGGUUACCGCUGGUGUGAAGAUUCUCUGCUGAUGCUGUUAACUAAGGAAACUGCUAAAAACUAUAAGCCACUAGGAGAGGAAGAAGCAAUUAUUUUAGGAUCGGCCAUAUGGGCGGAAGUGGUUGUUUUUAUAUGCUGUUCCGAAGUAGUGCUUAUGGAAUCGAAGCGGCAAGCGAAGAAGGAAGAAGAAGAAGAGCGCUUAAUAACGAAUCGAGUAAAAGAUUUGCACGAAGCAAUGGGAGUUUUACAACGUCGGCUAAAUGAGCAAUAUUUUUACAUUGAACAAAUCAUUGAAGCUUUGAAAAAACUUGGUGAGAGAGACGAGACAUCCUGCUUCACUUCCCAUCGAGGUUUGAACGGCUCUUUCGUUCCAUUAUAGGCAGGCCGAUCGAACGUCGGCAAGUUACCCAAAGAACGCACGCAACAGAUAAGAGUUUUGUGCAAAAACUCGCUUAAUUUUCACGCUAUAGUGCAAAAUAAUUUAAAUAAUAAGAACUUUUGGUAUUCAAGUGGGUUUUUAAAUUAGCCAAAUGUUUGUUUAACCACCAUGAGUUUCUCCAUCAAUUAUGCUUUUCAAUAUUUUGUCAUAUGGAAAUUUCAAUAUUUUCAUAUUUCUAAGCUAUAUUUCACACUAAAUUAUUCUCAACCAAAAUGUUACAUAUAACACUGCCAAUCUUGAAGUUGUCUUUGUUGGGAAUACAACAACUGUCAAGUCAUGUUAGCAAAUUCAUACGCAUGGAAGCAAAACAAAGCAAAACCUUUAGAAAUUACAUGUGUGUGCCUGCUGCUCAGUGUUAUCACUGGCUAGACGUGAAAAUAAAGCUGUUGCUUUUAAAUAUGGGCCGACACGUUAAGGUGGCGCCACUCAACGAGGCAGUAGCCACCGAAUUGGGCGCCGAAGUUUUGGGUGAAUUUAUAGUAUUUGUUACUGCAAGCACAGCAAUAAUUUUUGAAACAAACAGGCAAUCAACGAAAAAAAAUAUUGAAGCCUUGAGCGUGAAUAUGCAUCAUAAGGAUAUAAUUGAAGCGAUGGAAGUGUUAAAAUACCGACAGGAACAACAGAAUGCAUACGUUCAAGAGAUCACACGAGCGUUGGCGGCAUUAGCCGAUUUUAAAAUAUCUGUCAUAACAAGAGACAAGUCAUUAAAAGUCAGGUUGGAUAAAACAGAGAACGAGUAACAGAAUACGGUGUAUUUGACCUGCAUUUCCCAAAAUUCCCGCUGCCUUCGCGAAGAAUGAAAACCGACUUAAGCAUUGAUGACAAUUCCAACCCAAAAAUGGAGAUAUCCCUAUUUACCAGCUGAAGGAGAAAGUGGGGCCAGCACUGAACGUGUAGAUGGUGGAUUUAAAAUAUCAACCGUUAAUUAAGGUACUGACAGGCACAUUCGAAAUUCUCCAGCCCUUGUCUAGCACUACAAAGACAAACAUCAAACUACGCAGCAAAAAUAGCCACCUGUUGUUGUUGUAAGAGUUUGUUGGAUAGUGUUUUGGGCGCAAAGUGCUGUUACAAUAGAAUCCACAACAACUAACUUUAAAUAAAAUGUUCAAAAGGUAAACCAAUUCACGUAAAGGAAACUAAAAGCAAGGAAUUUAAAGAAAAAUCGAAAUAAUAUACCUAUGUGAGUGAGAUAUAUGCAAC
Anastrepha obliqua is the source of this 1864-nucleotide RNA transcript. It is a transcript of the gene named putative OPA3-like protein CG13603, with no coding region annotated. The transcript is spliced from 7 exons. The record is from RefSeq and is a predicted model, not a curated record. NCBI's taxonomy places the organism in Eukaryota, Metazoa, Arthropoda, Insecta, Diptera, Tephritidae.